This 21-nucleotide microRNA is filed under the name Notamacropus eugenii (tammar wallaby). Its description in RNAcentral is "Neu-Mir-7246_5p* (star (passenger))". Lineage: Eukaryota; Metazoa; Chordata; Mammalia; Diprotodontia; Macropodidae. The record is from RNAcentral. RNAcentral also lists the same sequence under 1 other name.
UAUCCAACCUUAUUUCCCACU